RNAcentral lists this ribosomal RNA (583 nucleotides) under uncultured bacterium. RNAcentral's name for it is "bacterial SSU rRNA". It matches the Rfam family "Bacterial small subunit ribosomal RNA", at positions 100 to 718 of the family's 1533-position model. The record is from RNAcentral.
GCACGGGUGAGUAACACGUGACUAACCUACCCUUGAGUGGGGGAUAACCUAGGGAAACCUGGGCUAAUACCGCAUAAUACCUUCGGGUCAAAGGAGCAAUUCGCUUAAGGAGGGGGUCGCGGCCGAUUAGUUAGUUGGCGGGGUAAUGGCCCACCAAGACUGUGAUCGGUAUCCGGCCUGAGAGGGCGCACGGACACACUGGAACUGAAACACGGUCCAGACUCCUACGGGAGGCAGCAGUGGGGAAUUUUGCGCAAUGGGGGAAACCCUGACGCAGCAACGCCGCGUGGAGGAUGAAGUCCCUUGGGACGUAAACUCCUUUCGAUCGGGACGAUUAUGACGGUACCGGAAGAAGAAGCCCCGGCUAACUUCGUGCCAGCAGCCGCGGUAAUACGAGGGGGGCGAGCGUUGUUCGGAAUUAUGGGGCGUAAAGGGUGCGUAGGCGGUUUGUAAGUCUUAUGUGAAAUCUAUGGGCUCAAUCAUAGUCUGCAUGAGAAACUGACGGGCUUGAGUAUGGGAGAGGUGAGUGGAAUUUCCGGUGUAGCGGUGAAAUGCGUAGAUAUCGGAAGGAACACUGUGGCGA